UACGUAGGAGGCGAGCGUUGUCCGGAAUUACUGGGCGUAAAGAGCGCGUAGGCGGCACGGUACGACCGGUGUGAAAGCCCCCGGCUCAACUGGGGAGGGUCACCGGUAACGGUCGAGCUAUGAGUGCAGGAGAGGGAAGUGGAACUCCGGGAGUAGCGGUGAAAUGCGUAGAGACCCGGAGGAACACCAGUGGCGAAGGCGGCUUCCUGGUCUGCGACUGACGCUGUGGCGCGAAAGCUAGGGGAGCAAACGGG
This 254-nucleotide ribosomal RNA is filed under the name uncultured bacterium. RNAcentral's name for it is "partial 16S ribosomal RNA". It matches the Rfam family "Bacterial small subunit ribosomal RNA", at positions 524 to 776 of the family's 1533-position model. The record is from RNAcentral.